Molecule: long non-coding RNA, 312 nt
Filed under: Lathyrus oleraceus (garden pea)
Lineage: Eukaryota; Viridiplantae; Streptophyta; Magnoliopsida; Fabales; Fabaceae
Description: Pisum sativum (pea) long non-coding RNA (PSAT_LNC040244)
Source: RNAcentral
UGUGUUGUUGAACUCUUUUUUUUGGAAUGAAUUAUUGGAAUGCUUGAAUUUGGAUUCUUGAUGGAGCUUUGAGCGCAUGGCUUGGCUUGUUAAUGGAGCUUUGAUUGUUCAUUAGGAUUGUACUUGUAGGGUUUAUGUAAUAUGAUGAACUUGUAAGAAAAUGUUGUGAAAUGUAAUUUGGAACAUGACUUUGUAAUUUAUGGAAAUUUUGUAAUGCUUGUGUAAUGUCAUGGUUUUGUGAUUUAUGUGCUUUGAGCGCAAAUGUAUUUUGGAAUUGGAAUGAAAUUGGCAAAUGCAAUGGUUAUCUAGUGU